CCCUGAAAAUGGAUGGCGCGGAAGCGUNNACCCAUACCGGAUCCGCUUCGGCAUUGCCGUGCAAGGCNAGCUGAAGCGAGUAGGAGGGCCGCUGCGGUGAGCGCCGAAGCCUGGGACGCGAGUCUGGGUGGAGCCGCCGCA
RNAcentral lists this ribosomal RNA (141 nucleotides) under Busycon carica. RNAcentral describes it as "partial 28S ribosomal RNA". It matches the Rfam family "Eukaryotic large subunit ribosomal RNA", at positions 1310 to 1440 of the family's 3401-position model. Lineage: Eukaryota; Metazoa; Mollusca; Gastropoda; Neogastropoda; Melongenidae. The record is from RNAcentral.